This 523-nucleotide long non-coding RNA is filed under the name Rattus norvegicus (Norway rat). RNAcentral describes it as "long non-coding RNA NONRATT033196". The record is from RNAcentral. Lineage: Eukaryota; Metazoa; Chordata; Mammalia; Rodentia; Muridae.
CCUCCCACUGGCUGAGUCCAGACUGAGUCCAGUGGACAGAGGAGCCCAAGGAGUGCCUGUGAAGAGACCAUAGGAUGCAUAGCCAAUAAGAAAUGGAGAAAUUGGGCCUCAGAGUGUGUAGGGAGAACCCAAAGACUGGUACCGUAUGAAUUAGGGUAUAGACAGUGUUCCUCACAGGCAGAACAGGAGAUGGAGGUGACGGUUGGGGGCCCCAGUCCUCAGGUUUGCCUCCAAAACUGGCCUUCGCGUGGUCCUAGCAUGUCGAGCCAAUCUGUUCCAGCACAGAGGAGCCUGGUUGUGGGCAGACCCCAGUGCCUCUCAAGAUCUACCGCCCACAUACCCAGGGUAGCGGUGGUGGCAAGGUGAGAUAUGUCGCAUCCGGAGGGCUGUGGGGUGGCCUGGGUAUUACCCAUGGUGCACAGCGGCUUUCAGCAGCAUCUGGACUUCAGCUUGGAUCCAAAUCCUGCCAUUUCCAGGUUGGGUGACUUGCAAGCUUCAAAUGUGUAAAACGACACAGUGGCAC